Non-coding RNA from Phrynosoma platyrhinos (Desert horned lizard), 68 nucleotides. The record is from the annotation of a GenBank genome assembly. Lineage: Eukaryota; Metazoa; Chordata; Lepidosauria; Squamata; Phrynosomatidae.
GGGUGAUGGAGUGGUUUGAGCAUCAGACUACGAAUCUGGAGACCAGGGUUCAAAUCCCAGCUCAGCCA